RNAcentral lists this ribosomal RNA (285 nucleotides) under uncultured bacterium. RNAcentral's name for it is "partial 16S ribosomal RNA". It matches the Rfam family "Bacterial small subunit ribosomal RNA", at positions 29 to 341 of the family's 1533-position model. The record is from RNAcentral.
AGCGAACGCUGGCGGCAGGCCUAACACAUGCAAGUCGAACGAACCCUUCGGGGUUAGUGGCGGACGGGUGAGUAACACGUGGGAACGUACCUUUAGGUUCGGAACAACACAGGGAAACUUGUGCUAAUGCCGAAUGUGCCCUUCGGGGGAAAGAUUUAUCGCCUUUAGAGCGGCCCGCGUCUGAUUAGCUUGUUGGUGAGGUAAAGGCUCACCAAGGCUACGAUCAGUAGCUGGUCUGAGAGGAUGAUCAGCCACACUGGGACUGAGACACGGCCCAGACCCUCG